This 106-nucleotide transfer RNA is filed under the name Annulohypoxylon truncatum. RNAcentral's name for it is "tRNA-Ser". It matches the Rfam family "tRNA". From Rfam's summary of the family: Transfer RNA (tRNA) molecules are approximately 80 nucleotides in length. Their secondary structure includes four short double-helical elements and three loops (D, anti-codon, and T loops). Further hydrogen bonds mediate the characteristic L-shaped molecular structure. tRNAs have two regions of fundamental functional importance: the anti-codon, which is responsible for specific mRNA codon recognition, and the 3' end, to which the tRNAs corresponding amino acid is attached (by aminoacyl-tRNA synthetases). tRNAs cope with the degeneracy of the genetic code in two manners: having more than one tRNA (with a specific anti-codon) for a particular amino acid; and 'wobble' base-pairing, i.e. permitting non-standard base-pairing at the 3rd anti-codon position. Lineage: Eukaryota; Fungi; Ascomycota; Sordariomycetes; Xylariales; Hypoxylaceae. The record is from RNAcentral.
GGCACUUUGGCGGAGUGGUUAACGCGAUGCCCUGCUAUGAGCUAAUGAAUUAGCAAUGGUAUAGGCAUUCCCUUCGGGGGCGUGUGUUCGAAUCACACAGGUGUCG